Molecule: ribosomal RNA, 483 nt
Filed under: uncultured bacterium
Lineage: Bacteria
Description: partial 16S ribosomal RNA
Rfam family: Bacterial small subunit ribosomal RNA
Source: RNAcentral
UUGCACGCUGGCGGCAGGCCUAACACCUGCCAGUCGAGCGGAUGAGGGGAGCUUGCUCCUGGAUUCAGCGGCGGACGGGUGAGUAAUGCCUAGGAAUCUGCCUGGUAGUGGGGGAUAACGUCCGGAAACGGGCGCUAAUACCGCAUACGUCCUGAGGGAGAAAGUGGGGGAUCUUCGGACCUCACGCUAUCAGAUGAGCCUAGGUCGGAUUAGCUAGUUGGUGGGGUAAAGGCCUACCAAGGCGACGAUCCGUAACUGGUCUGAGAGGAUGAUCAGUCACACUGGAACUGAGACACGGUCCAGACUCCUACGGGAGGCAGCAGUGGGGAAUAUUGGACAAUGGGCGAAAGCCUGAUCCAGCCAUGCCGCGUGUGUGAAGAAGGUCUUCGGAUUGUAAAGCACUUUAAGUUGGGAGGAAGGGCAGUAAGUUAAUACCUUGCUGUUUUGACGUUACCAACAGAAUAAGCACCGGCUAACUUCGUG